AUACGGAGGGGGCAAGCGUUGUUCGGAAUUACUGGGCGUAAAGGGCACGUAGGCGGCUUAUUGGGUCAUACGUGAAAUCCCCGGACUUAACCCGGGAACUGCGUUUGAAACCGUUAGGCUAGAGGACGGAAGAGGAGAGCGGAAUUCCCAGUGUAGAGGUGAAAUUCGUAGAUAUUGGGAAGAACACCAGUGGCGAAGGCGGCUCUCUGGUCCGUUACUGACGCUGAGGUGCGAAAGCGUGGGGAGCAAACAGGAUUAGAAACCCCAGUAGUCC
Molecule: ribosomal RNA, 274 nt
Filed under: uncultured bacterium
Lineage: Bacteria
Description: partial 16S ribosomal RNA
Rfam family: Bacterial small subunit ribosomal RNA
Source: RNAcentral